This is a non-coding RNA of Pelobates cultripes (western spadefoot toad), 906 nucleotides long. The record is from the annotation of a GenBank genome assembly. Lineage: Eukaryota; Metazoa; Chordata; Amphibia; Anura; Pelobatidae.
CCUUAUUGUUUUUACUGUAAAAAAAAAACCCCAACAACUUUUCUUUGCUUUAGAUUAAAUCUAAUUUCUUACAGUCUAAAUGUGUGACAUUGUGUACUUCGGUAUAGUCCUGUUUAAGAAUAGGUUUCAAGACAAUAAUUUGUAUUGGCCCCAAAUAUAUUUGUAUAAUGCCAUCAUAUCCCCUCUGAUGAGCCUUUAUUCUGACCUAAACAGAUUUAAAUUUAUUAACCUUUUUUUAUAACUAAAAUGUUACAUUCCUUUUAUUAAUUUAGUCCGCCUCUGCACUUUAUCUAGUGCCAUGAUAUCCUUCUUUAGAACAGGUACAAAAAAUUGCACAGCAUAUUCAAGAUGUGGUCUGAAAGAUGCAAAAUAAUAGUUUCAUCUCCAGAAUAAUUGCCCCUUUUUAUGCAAUUCCUUACUGGCCUAAGCAACUGCUGAUUGACACAGCACAUUGAUGCUUAGUUUGUGGUCUAUAAUUCCCCAAAUCCUCCUCAUGUUUUAUCCCCAAUUCACAACAGUUUAAGGUAGAAGUUGCUUGAGCAUUCUUUACCCUGAGUGUAUAACUUUACAUUUAUCUACAUUGAAUUUGAAUUUUUAGUGCCUUAGCCCCCCCCCCCAUCUAUAUAAAUCCCUCUGCAAAAAAGCAAUAUCCUGCUCACAUUGUAUUACUUUACAGAGUUUUGUGUCAUGUGCAAAAACUGAAACAUGACUUUCAAUAUCAUUUCUAAAUGUUAAAUAGAAGCAGUCCCAGAACAGAACACAGAGGAACACCACUUAUCACUAUUGUCCAGCUUACAAAAUUUACCAUUAAUGACAACUCUCUGUAAUCCAUCUUUAAACCAAUAUUCUACCCAAGAAUAAGAAUUUUUAUCUAGACUAAUUGUUUUUAGUUUGAACACUAAUCUG